Molecule: long non-coding RNA, 295 nt
Organism: Ornithodoros turicata
Lineage: Eukaryota; Metazoa; Arthropoda; Arachnida; Ixodida; Argasidae
Exons: 3
Source: RefSeq, a predicted model, not a curated record
GCCGCGAAUCACAGUGUUGAACACGCUGCCGUAUUGCGUUUGCGUUGCCAUUCAUGCUUCGGGACACCACAACAUGCACUAGAAGACCACGAAGGUCGUCAUCUGUUCAAGACACAACUAGAGAAAAUCUGGACUCUUGAAUCUAGGCUUAAAGGAUCCGUGCGCAUGAACUUAAAGGACUCCGCAGACGCCACCAUCGAAAAUGUGGUCGCAAAGUGGCUGUAUUUUGCAGCCGGUCGGAAUGGUGGUCGCUCGCAGAGAAGGAAACCAGCAACUAACCACCAAUCAAUGUGUA